GACGAACGCUGGCGGCGUGCUUAACACAUGCAAGUCGAACGGAAAGGCCCUGCUUUUGUGGGGUGCUCGAGUGGCGAACGGGUGAGUAACACGUGAGUAACCUGCCCUUGACUUUGGGAUAACUUCAGGAAACUGGGGCUAAUACCGGAUAGGAGCUCCUGCUGCAUGGUGGGGGUUGGAAAGUUUCGGCGGUUGUGGAUGGACUCGCGGCUUAUCAGCUUGUUGGUGGGGUAGUGGCUUACCAAGGCUUUGACGGGUAGCCGGCCUGAGAGGGUGACCGGCCACAUUGGGACUGAGAUACGGCCCCGACUCCUCCGGGAGGCAGCAGUGGGGAAUAUUGCACAAUGGGCGGAAGCCUGAUGCAGCAACGCCGCGUGCGGGAUGACGGCCUUCGGGUUGUAAACCGCUUUCGCCUGUGACGAAGCGUGAGUGACGGUAAUGGGUAAAGAAGCACCGGCUAACUACGUG
RNAcentral lists this ribosomal RNA (468 nucleotides) under uncultured bacterium. RNAcentral describes it as "partial 16S ribosomal RNA". It matches the Rfam family "Bacterial small subunit ribosomal RNA", at positions 28 to 507 of the family's 1533-position model. The record is from RNAcentral.